Molecule: long non-coding RNA, 1590 nt
Filed under: Eucalyptus grandis
Lineage: Eukaryota; Viridiplantae; Streptophyta; Magnoliopsida; Myrtales; Myrtaceae
Description: long non-coding RNA (EGRA_LNC007354)
Source: RNAcentral
UUUCUUAAAGUACUUCAGGGAUUCUGCACAAGUACAACUAAUUUGCCGGAAUUUCAAAGGAGAAGUUACUCUACAUCUCCUCAAGAUCAAAUCAUCCCUAUAAACUAUAAAAACACCAUGUUCCAAACCAGUCACAAAGAUGCAGCGCUGUGUGCCCAUCUGGCCAAACUACAAUGGCUCGUUGGCUUAAAGCUUAUGGCUCUGUUACAAAGGACAUGACAUGAGCAGCCAAAUUUGUGCUAAAGACUUCUCGUGACCGCCCUAAUUCCCAGUGUUUCUCAGGUUUUAGAACUAGCACUUGAGCAGGGCAGAGCCAAGAAGACCAGAAAAAUCUCAUCACAAGAUAGAUAAGAUGUGGUAAGCCAUGGCAAGGCAACAUAUUCUCAAUGCGUCGAAGAAGUAUAAAAAAACACUUUUUUAAGAACAAGCAUCGCUGUCCCAACUGGUCCCCAGCGAGAAUCGACUAGAAGAAUCAAGACAUAAGCUAAGAACUCAUUCAGAUGGAAUAAACUUGUGAUUUUGCCCCCAUUCAAGCCACAAAACGCGCAGAAGCCAACUCUAUCAAAUGACCUCUACUGAUAAAAACCCCUCAGUUUGGACAUGGAAGCCGAGGACACUUCACUUCUCCUAUGCAAUUCUUCAUCAUCUUUGGCCACUGAAAAAUAGACUAAGAACAGAGACAAUGAAAGAAUCGCACGCAUCAAUAGCAGAAAUUGAGGAACUCAAUGCGUCCAAAAUGUAUAAAAACACUAUCUCUAAGAACAAGCAUUACCGUCCCAAUCAGUCCGAAUCCUAGACCAGGCUAAAAUCAACUAGAAGAAUUAAGAUAUAAGCCAAGAACUCAUUCAGCCGGAACAAAGUUGUGAUUUUGCCCCAGUUAAGCCGCAAAACGGGAGAACCCAGCUCCAUCAAACGAUCUCUGCUGCUAAAAACCCCUCAUUUCGGACAUGGAAGCUGAGGAAACCUCACUUCUCCAAUGCAAAUUCUUCAUCAUCUUCCACCACGAAGAAUUAGACAAAGGACGGCGACGAGAAAAAGAAUCACACGCAUCGAUAGCAGCAGCAGAAAUUGAGGAAACUAAACGAAGCACACGCCACCCAAAAAAUAAAAAGGGAACAAGGCGGAGGGCCAAGAGAAAGACGGGGAACUCACGGAAGGGUUGGAGGGAUCGGAGGGCCUGAAAUGGCUGAAGUUGUGAGGAUCGAACGACGGCAAGUCGCCCAGGAUAGAACCCAUGAAAGAGUGAAUGCAGAACCUCUGCACAGUGCUCCCCCCUCGAAUCCAGAGAGAGAGAGAGACGAUGGCCUCAAAUUCUAGAAACAGCCUCGCUGCUGGUGCUGGAGUUGCCUGGAAACAGGACGGUCGUGUCUGACCUUACGACGGAAGCUCAUUAAUACUCCCCCGACACGAGACGCUCCGAAGUAUAGACACAAAUCUAUGGACGAAGAAAUAAUCCGUCGUGAAAACAUGAAGCCUUAAUGCCACCGAAAACUCCAAAUCCGUGUUCCUCAACUUCCUUUGGAUCUUUUGUAUUUGGUUAAGAAGUAACCUCACCGACAAAAGCGGAACUUGCACUCUUAGGAGGACUUC